This 84-nucleotide transfer RNA is filed under the name Gloeomargaritaceae cyanobacterium C42_A2020_066. RNAcentral describes it as "tRNA-Thr". Lineage: Bacteria; Bacillati; Cyanobacteriota; Cyanophyceae; Gloeomargaritales; Gloeomargaritaceae. The record is from RNAcentral.
GCCGGGCUGUAGAGUGACUAACAGGCUUACAAGACCGCUCGAUUCGUAAUCGAGCGGCCACGAGUUCAAAUCUCGUCACCGGCU